RNAcentral lists this ribosomal RNA (433 nucleotides) under uncultured bacterium. Its description in RNAcentral is "partial 16S ribosomal RNA". It matches the Rfam family "Bacterial small subunit ribosomal RNA", at positions 29 to 507 of the family's 1533-position model. The record is from RNAcentral.
AACGAACGCUGGCGGCAUGCCUAACACAUGCAAGUCGAACGAGACCUUCGGGUCUAGUGGCGCACGGGUGCGUAACGCGUGGGAACCUGCCCUUAGGUUCGGAAUAACUCCCCGAAAGGGGUGCUAAUACCGGAUAAUGUCUUCGGACCAAAGAUUUAUCGCCUUUGGAUGGGCCCGCGUUGGAUUAGCUAGUUGGUAGGGUAAAAGCCUACCAAGGCGACGAUCCAUAGCUGGUCUGAGAGGAUGAUCAGCCACACUGGGACUGGGACACGGCCCAGACUCCUACGGGAGGCAGCAGUGGGGAAUAUUGGACAAUGGGCGAAGGCCUGAUCCAGCAAUGCCGCGUGAGUGAUGAAGGCCUUAGGGUUGUAAAGCUCUUUUACCCGGGAUGAUAAUGACAGUACCGGGAGAAUAAGCUCCGGCUAACUCCGUG